Molecule: ribosomal RNA, 444 nt
Filed under: uncultured bacterium
Lineage: Bacteria
Description: bacterial SSU rRNA
Rfam family: Bacterial small subunit ribosomal RNA
Source: RNAcentral
GUAGGGAAUUUUCGGCAAUGGGGGAAACCCUGACCGAGCAACGCCGCGUGAGUGAAGAAGGUCUUCGGAUUGUAAAGCUCUGUUGUAAGGGAAGAAAUGUACUGUGAGAAACAGUACUUGACGGUACCUUACCAGAAAGCUACGGCUAACUACGUGCCAGCAGCCGCGGUAAUACGUAGGUAGCGAGCGUUAUCCGGAAUUAUUGGGCGUAAAGGGUGCGUAGGCGGCCAUUUAAGUUCAUGGUGAAAGCGUGGGGCUCAACCCCAUAAAGCCAUGGAUACUGGAUGGCUGGAGUACUGGAGAGGGUAGUGGAAUUCCAUGUGUAGCGGUAAAAUGCGUAGAUAUAUGGAGGAACACCGGUGGCGAAGGCGGCUACCUGGACAGAGACUGACGCUGAGGCACGAAAGCGUGGGGAGCAAAUAGGAUUAGAAACCCUAGUAGUCC